RNAcentral lists this unclassified non-coding RNA (2791 nucleotides) under Hevea brasiliensis (rubber tree). Lineage: Eukaryota; Viridiplantae; Streptophyta; Magnoliopsida; Malpighiales; Euphorbiaceae. The record is from RNAcentral.
CGAUAAGAUUAGAAUUUGAUUGUUCUUUGGCCAUAUGGAAUAUCGUCAUCAUUAACUAAAGACCCUAAGAUUACAAAAAGAGAAACAUAAGCAUAGAAGGACAAGGGUGGUAGUGGGACGCAACCCUCAUCUAUUCUAUGCACCGUCUUUAUAUGAUGCUAAUUGCCUGCUUGUAUGCAAUAAAAAUCUCCCACUCCUCCAAAAUCAGAAUCUAAAUCUUGAACCAAAGAAUAGACUUGUUGAAAAAGGUUUCUUUCAAGCUGCAAGGAAACAAAUAAACCUAGAAAUGGUCAGCAUAAUGCUACAUUAAAAUUCCUAAUGUGCAUUAUAGCAGUUCACUCACAUGCUCCCAAGCUGCAGAUGACAUAGAUAAAUAAAAUGACAAAACCACACAACCAAGCCUUACGUGGCUCUCCAUUUCAGAUGGACUGUUAGAAAGCCAAUUGUAGAGCUGCAUUCAAAGUUUCCCUGGGAAAUGGCUGGGAUCUUUAUCAGUUUAAUCCUGUGGAGGGAAUCAUACCAAGGCCAUAUUAUUAAAUACUUGAUAUUGAGAAUUAUCUCAUGUCCAAAUGCAAAAACAGAAAAUUAAGCAAACAACAGGCUCAACACAAUCUAAAGGCAGUAGUUAACUGGGCAUCAGAGUUCUGACUAAUGAACUGAUCCAGAGGAAGACGUUUAUUCAGCUUGAUAUGGAAAAGUUUGAAAUGAACUUCGGUCAGCCCCUCCAUUUGAACCUUUAAAGGGUUCAAGAGGCAAAACACAUCCACGAGUUUUGCUACCUUCGACAUUGGCAUUGACACCUCUACUGAUUGACAUCUUUUCAGAUUUCACAGUCUCUGCUGUACUCUUCAAAGGAAACAACCUCUGUGCAACUAGAGGAGAUAAUGACAGAGAUCUCCCUUCACUUGGAUUACUGCUGUCAGAAGACAAGUACUUCCUAGAAGAUGCCAGUUUUGGUGGACUGUUAUCCUCAGGUGAAGAGCUAAAUAGCUGUAAAUGUAAACUAGUGCAAUUUUCUUGAAGCUGGCUAUCUGAAUCUUCAACAGGAAACUGGUAACAGCUACUACUUCUCUCACCACCCACAGAAGGGAAAUCGACAAUAGUUCUCUUCUGCAGAUUGGGACCUGUAGCUCGAUCAAGGCAAGUCAACUUAGACAUCUAAGUGUCACUGCUCUGGCUGCUUCUUUGAGAUAGAAUUGCUAGAGCAUCUGGUGCAGAUGCUGUCAAAGUUGCUGAAAGAACAGUAAGCAAGUCCAUGUUUGAUGGAGAAGAUGUGGUUCCAUGCAAUAUAUGUUGGCGAUCUGAUGAUGGUUGUUCAGGAUUUUUCCUAUUUGGAGUUCCAAUAUUUGAAAGCUUAGCAGCAAGAUCCAUUGGCAAAGGUAAUGCAUUUAUUUUACUCAAAAUUUGAAUCAGCUGGUCCCUAUCUGGCGCUGAUGAGUUAUUAGUACUUUUUCCCUGGUUCUUCCCCGUAGUUUUCAACAUAAAUUUAAGCAAAUGAAGUGGAAAAUAACAAUUCAAUUCAUUCAGACAAUUCUGUCACCUUGAGUGCGUGCCAAAGCAGUUAACAAGUUAACCGUGUCUAAAUUUGCGUUGCUGGUGGAAUCCUAGUUACCAGGGAGUAGCAGCUGUGAGGUAACAUCCUCAGGUUGGGUUUUCCUCCUCCGUCGGUUGUGCCCAGCAAGCCUACGCCUACAACUUCUUGUCCCCUCAUCAAACUCAGAAAGUGUUUGAAACUUGCAAACAGCAGUGAAGGUUUUGAUGCGAGUGAAAUCAAAGCAGCCAUGGAGAAAAUAAAUUAAUGAUAUCCAGAAAGGAGAUAUUCCAAGUUAACAACCAAAGGUAUCAAACAGACUAUACUUGUAAACUAAAGAUAAAAAUAAUAAUGUGUAAUAAACAAGAAUAUGACGGUUAAAGUUUAACUAAUGAUCAAUGAAGUCAAUGAAGUAAUGAGAUGAGAACCUGCUACACUGCUGACAAAACCUCUGCAUCUGCUUCCCAACAAGAGCUUUAGUGGAUUUGCUAUGAACCUCGCAAACUUUAUGACGGCGUUGAUAGUCCUUUGCAUUAGAUAGAUUUUCCUUGCAAUUAUCGUCCUGGCACAUUGGAUAGGUAGCUGUGCCGGGAGAUACAGAGCGGACUCUUUUAUUGGGCAUGGAGACAAGCUCCUCAACAGAAUUCAAGCCUCCAGCAAGAUGCAAGCGAAGUCCAUCAUCUUCAUCCACAGCGGCCUUUUUCAAGGGAAAAUGAUUCCCAGAAGCUUCAGUCUUCUUCUUAGGCUCCGAGGAUGCGGAGCAAAACUGCAAAAUGUUGGUGUCAGAGUCCAAGGGGUUGGGCGACAAACCUGACGCUAUCCCAAUCCCGUGCCUUAGGAUUCCAAUUGUCCCUAGGAUUUUGAACAAAACGGUGCAGCUGCUGGAGCUGAGAAAAGCAAUCAAAUCCCGCUUUUUCCAACAAUACAAAAACUUUCCCCAACCUCAGAUCUACAAAACAAACAGCGAAAAGCUGGUCGACUUCAGAUGCCAAAAAAAAUUGACUACCCCUGAAAUCUGGUAACUGACUGUCACAAUUUCUUUCUCCACAGCAUUAUUCUUGAAUACACGGAGCUUGGAGAGACAAAAUGGAAGGGAACUAAAGGAAGACGAAGACGCCAAUCCACGAGCUUUCUUUUUUAACUUUUGCUUACCAUUUAUUAACUUUUUUAUUUUUUCUCUUUGGCUUGUAACAGACGUUUCCUUUCGGUGAUUUUAGCGAGAAUUUCUAGAAAAAGACCAAGUAAUAUUAUCAUUCGAUA